RNAcentral lists this ribosomal RNA (251 nucleotides) under Diversispora epigaea. The record is from RNAcentral. Lineage: Eukaryota; Fungi; Glomeromycota; Glomeromycetes; Diversisporales; Diversisporaceae.
CAGUCGCGUUUGCCGGGACUCAGCCUUGCUUCUGCUUGGUGCACUUCUCGGUAGAUGGGCCAGCAUCGAUUUCGGAUGCUGGAAAAUGACUUGAGGAAUGUGGCAGCUUGCUGUGUUAUAGCCUCUUGGUGUACACGGUGUCGGGGAUCGAGGACUGCAGCACGCCUUUGGUCGGGGUUCCCCACGCCACGUGCUUAGGAUGCUGGCAAAAUGGCUUUAAACGACCCGUCUUGAAACACGGACCAAGGAGU